Molecule: long non-coding RNA, 437 nt
Filed under: Homo sapiens (human)
Lineage: Eukaryota; Metazoa; Chordata; Mammalia; Primates; Hominidae
Description: HSALNT0283538
Source: RNAcentral
CUUGUACUUACUGCCAGCCUCCACUGCCAGCCCAACUCAGAACUUUCUGUUUUAGUUUCCCAAAGAGAAGCCCCAGCUGAUUUCCCUGUCCGUGAGUUGUGGAGAAUGCAGCAGUGGCGACUCCACCAUCAGAACUCCCCAAGUUCCAGGAACCUCACAGCCCUUAGCAUUGAGCCUGAGACGCCUUGUGUCCUGACACCGUGCAUUCUCCAGUGACCAGCAGCUGCCUGUCCAUCCCCCAAGAUUGGAAAGGCAGCAGCAGCCCCCAGGAGCCCAGGGCUGUCCUCAGUGUCUGCUGGUCUAGUGCAUCCUGCUGCAGAGGAAAACUGAGGACCUGAGGGGAGGUUCCAAGAUGGCCGAAUAGGAACAGCUCCAGUCUACAGCUCCCAGCAUGAGUGAUGCAGAAGACGGGUGAUUUCUGCAUUUCCAACUGAGGU